UUCCGGAGUUUCCAAAGGUUGAAAUUCCACAAUUUCCCAAGCCCGAAUUUCCGGAGCUUCCAAAACCCGAAAUGCCCCAAAUUCCAGAGUUUCCAAAACCUGAGCUGCCAUCUUUUCCAAAACCCGAAAUGCCCCAUAUUCCAGAACUUCCAAAACUUCCAUUCCCAACCCUUCCCAAAGAGACUCCACUGCCUUAUGUUCCCCAUCCGACCACCACUUCUCCUUAAAUUUUCAACACUAUUACCUAAUCGUGUGUAUUUUAUUUAAAAUUAUAUCUACCCGAUGAAGGUGGCUCCAUCCUCCAUAUGUGUUCGCGUUUGGUUUGAUUAAUUAGUGUUAUGCUUUAUUUCGGAUAUCAUGUACUUUUUCUGAUUUUUUUACCCUUACACAUGUUUACAUUUUCAUAUGUGAUGGUCUUACUAUUACUUCAUCAUCACAUCAUGUAUUCAUGUUCCGUUGAUUUAUAUAUAUCGAGAUACUCAUUACUUUGGUUUGAUAUAUCAUCCAUUCUAAUUCUUUCAAUGGUUCAAAGUACCAACGACGAGG
Molecule: long non-coding RNA, 546 nt
Filed under: Linum usitatissimum (flax)
Lineage: Eukaryota; Viridiplantae; Streptophyta; Magnoliopsida; Malpighiales; Linaceae
Description: long non-coding RNA (LUSI_LNC003082)
Source: RNAcentral